UGAGUCCGAGGAGCUACGGCUCUUAAGUGAUACGAGUCAGACUUCCCAGAAAAGCCCGAACCACGUUAAUCUCUAAUUACCUGUACCCGAAACCGACACAGGUGGGUAGGUAGAGUAUACUAAGGGGCGCGAGAUAACUCUCUCUAAGGAACUCGGCAAAAUGACUCCGUAACUUCGGGAGAAGGAGUGCCUUAUUUAUAAGGUUGCAAUAACAAGAUCCAAGCAACUGUUUAUCAAAAACACAGGUCUCCGCUAAGUCGUAAGACGAUGUAUGGGGGCUGACGCCUGCCCAGUGCCAGAAGGUUAAAGAAGUUGGUUAGUGUAUGCGAAGCUGAUGACUGAAGCCCUGGUGAACGGCGGCCGUAACAAUAACGGUCCUAAGGUAGCGAAAUUCCUUGUCGGGUAAGUUCCGACCCGCACGAAAGGCGUAAUGAUUUGGAUACUGUCUCGGAGAGAGGCUCGGUGAAAUAGACUUGUCUGUGAAGAUGCGGACUACCUGCACCAGGACAGAAAGACCCUAUGAAGCUUUACUGUAACUUGAAAUUGGAAUUGGACUUUGCUUGCGCAGUAUAGGUGGGAAGCGUUGAAGAUAUUCUUGCGGGAGUAUUGGAGCUAUCAGUGAGAUACCACUCUUGUAAUGUUAGAUUUCUAACUUUGAACCAUAAUCUGGUCAAAGAACAGUUUCAGGUGGGCAGUUUGACUGGGGCGGUCGCCUCCCAAAUGGUAACGGAGGCGUACAAAGGUUUCCUCUGAACGGAUAGAAAUCGUAUCUAGAGUGUAAAGGCAUAAGGAAGCUUGACUGUGAGACCUACAAGUCGAGCAGGGACGAAAGUCGGUCUUAGUGAUCUGACGGUACUGAGUGGAAAGGCCGUCACUCAACGGAUAAAAGUUACUCUAGGAUAACAGGCUGAUCUCCCCCAAGAGUUCACAUCGACGGGGAGGUUUGGCACCUCGAUGUCGGCUCAUCGCAUCCUGGGGCGGUAGUACGUCCCAAGGGUUGGGCUGUUCGCCCAUGAAAGCGGUACGCGAGCUGGGUUCAGAACGUCGUGAGACAGUUCGGUCCAUAUCCGGUGUAGGCGUUAGAAUAUUGAGAGGAGCCUUCUUUAGUACGAGAGGACCGAGAAGGACACACCGCUGGUGUACCAGUUAUCGUGCCAGCGGUAAACGCUGGGUAGCUAUGUGUGGAGUGGAUAACCGCUGAAAGCAUCUAAGUGGGAAGCCCACCUCAAGAUGAGUAUUCUC
This 1242-nucleotide ribosomal RNA is filed under the name metagenome. RNAcentral describes it as "bacterial LSU rRNA". It matches the Rfam family "Bacterial large subunit ribosomal RNA", at positions 1564 to 2815 of the family's 2925-position model. The record is from RNAcentral.